UAAUACUAGGGGUGCGAGCGUUGUCCGGAAUCACUGGGCGUAAAGGGUCCGUAGGCGUCUCAAUAAGUCAUUCGUUAAAGACACCGGCUUAACCGGUGGCCUGCAUAUGAAACUGUUGAGAUAGAGUAUAGGAGAGGAAAGUGGAAUUCCUGGUGUAGCGGUGACAUGCGUAGAUAUCAGGAGGAACACCAAUGGCGAAGGCAACUUUCUGGCCUAUUACUGACGCUGAGGGACGAAAGCGUGGGGAGCAAACAGGAUUAGAUACCCUGGUAGUCCACGCCGUAAACGAUGAGUACUUGGUGUCGGGGGAUUCGACCCCUUCGGUACCGGAGCUAACGCAUUAAGUACUCCGCCUGGGAACUACGACCGCAAGGUUG
RNAcentral lists this ribosomal RNA (377 nucleotides) under uncultured Deferribacteraceae bacterium. RNAcentral's name for it is "bacterial SSU rRNA". It matches the Rfam family "Bacterial small subunit ribosomal RNA", at positions 521 to 896 of the family's 1533-position model. The record is from RNAcentral. Lineage: Bacteria; Pseudomonadati; Deferribacterota; Deferribacteres; Deferribacterales; Deferribacteraceae.